Phasianus colchicus (ring-necked pheasant) is the source of this 780-nucleotide non-coding RNA. NCBI's taxonomy places the organism in Eukaryota, Metazoa, Chordata, Aves, Galliformes, Phasianidae. The record is from RefSeq and is a predicted model, not a curated record.
ACGUGUGUUGUUGAGUCCUCCAAUGUCUGUAGAGUCCACUUAUGAGUGUCGCUGAGUCCUCCAGUGUCCUUUUGAGUCCUCCUAGGGCUGUUAUUGAGUCCUCCAACAGGCGUCGCUGAGUCCUCCAGCGUCCUUUGAGUCCUCCUACAUGUGUUGUUGAGUCCUCCCACGGGUGUUGUUGAGUCCUCCAAUGUCUGUUGAGUCCUCCUACGUGUGUUGUUGAGUCCUCCAAUGCCUGUAGAGUCCACUUACGAGUAUCCCUGAGUCCUCUAGUGUCCUUUUGAGUCCUCCUAGGGCUGUUAUUGAGUCCUCCAACGGGCGUCGCUGAGUCCUCCAAUGCCUGUAGAGUCCUCCUAUGGGUGUCGCUGAGUCCUCCAGCGUCCUUUUGAUUCCUCCCACGUGUGUUGUUGAGUCCUCCAAUGGCUGUAGAGUCCACUUACGAGUAUCCCUGAGUCCUCCAGCGUCCUUUUGAGUCCUCUGCCGGGUGUUGUCGAGUCCUCCAGCACCAGACGAGUCCUCCAACAACCAUCCCAGUCCUCCUGUCAUCCCAGGUACCGCCGCCGUCGCCUUGGCAGGUCUUUUAGCAGCCCAGAAAACAACGGGAAAACCUUUAACAGAACACCAACUUUUAUUUCUCGGGGCCGGAGAGGCAGCGUUGGGCAUUGCAAACCUCAUUGUUAUGGCCAUGGUGGAGAACGGGGUUCAAAUCGACGAGGCGCGUCGGAGGAUUUGGAUGUAUGACAAGCACGGGUUGGUCCUCCAGGUACAACCAUCCCGAAA